RNAcentral lists this ribosomal RNA (761 nucleotides) under uncultured bacterium. RNAcentral's name for it is "bacterial SSU rRNA". It matches the Rfam family "Bacterial small subunit ribosomal RNA", at positions 771 to 1532 of the family's 1533-position model. The record is from RNAcentral.
AACAGGAUUAGAUACCCUGGUAGUCCACGCCGUAAACGAUGUCGACUUGGAGGUUGUUCCCUUGAGGAGUGGCUUCCGGAGCUAACGCGUUAAGUCGACCGCCUGGGGAGUACGGCCGCAAGGUUAAAACUCAAAUGAAUUGACGGGGGCCCGCACAAGCGGUGGAGCAUGUGGUUUAAUUCGAUGCAACGCGAAGAACCUUACCUACUCUUGACAUCCAGCGAACUUGGCAGAGAUGCCUUGGUGCCUUCGGGAACGCUGAGACAGGUGCUGCAUGGCUGUCGUCAGCUCGUGUUGUGAAAUGUUGGGUUAAGUCCCGCAACGAGCGCAACCCUUAUCCUUUGUUGCCAGCGAUUCGGUCGGGAACUCAAAGGAGACUGCCGGUGAUAAACCGGAGGAAGGUGGGGAUGACGUCAAGUCAUCAUGGCCCUUACGAGUAGGGCUACACACGUGCUACAAUGGCGCAUACAAAGAGAAGCGACCUCGCGAGAGCAAGCGGACCUCACAAAGUGCGUCGUAGUCCGGAUCGGAGUCUGCAACUCGACUCCGUGAAGUCGGAAUCGCUAGUAAUCGUGGAUCAGAAUGCCACGGUGAAUACGUUCCCGGGCCUUGUACACACCGCCCGUCACACCAUGGGAGUGGGUUGCAAAAGAAGUAGGUAGCUUAACCUCCGGGAGGGCGCUUACCACUUUGUGAUUCAUGACUGGGGUGAAGUCGUAACAAGGUAACCGUAGGGGAACCUGCGGCUGGAUCACCUCCUU